Molecule: long non-coding RNA, 1098 nt
Organism: Astatotilapia calliptera (eastern happy)
Lineage: Eukaryota; Metazoa; Chordata; Actinopteri; Cichliformes; Cichlidae
Source: Ensembl
AGUUUCAAUGAGCACUUUAACAGGAAUACCUGGUAGAUUAGCUGGUGAGUGCAGACAAAUAAAUUCAGUUGUUUUAAAAAUGCAUAACCACUUCAAACAGAGUCGAUAUUGGAGACAACUGCUCCUUACUAAAACAGAAUAAGUCUUCUGGUACCAAUUGGAACCAGCUGAUUAAGAUCAGUUUUACUUUUAUUCCUUCUAUGUGAGUUUGGCGUGAACUUUUUUAUCAUCUGAAUCUUGUGUGUGACACAGUUGCUGUAGCUCUGGGAGUCCCCUUGCGGAGGAAAAUAAAAACAGCAACUCACGAAGGGCAGUGCAGUUGCUGUCCAGCAGAGGGCAGCGUACCCCUAAAAUUACCGAAUGGACUGAACCUUUUCCGGCUCGGUCAAGACAGAAAACUGCAUUUGCUAUUCUAAUCUGUUUCCUCUUUUCAUUCCUUUUACUUUUUUCACUUUCUCUCGCUCUUUUUUUUAAAUUCAGCCCCCAUGAGUCUCUCUUUCUCUGUCAACAAUGCUUAAGUUGCACACAGACAGACGAUACCACAGAAGCAGGGAAACCAUGUCUGGUUCUUAAGUUGUGCAAGAGAGAGCUGUUUUUUCUCUCCUCUCCUCACUAUAAUAAUUUCAGCUCUACCUGACUCUGCUAAAGCCAUCACUCUGCCCCCCGCUCCAGCUGAAACUUUGUGUCUUUUUUAUUUUUUAUUUCUUUUUGUGACCCUUACUCUUUACAUGUCUCCUCACUGCUUGUCUCCUCACCCUUCUCCCUCCCUCUCUCUAAAUGUUUUUGUUGCUUUUUUUCUCCUAAGUAAUAAUUCUCCCUCCGGCCCAUUCUCUCUUUAUCUGUCCAUUCACUCCCUCCAUAUCUGCCUUUUCCAUCCCUUCUGAGUCCAAAUGCUGUCAAAGUCAUUGACUGCAUGGGUAUGACAUCAGCUCCCACUGAGAUCAAUGAGGCUGACAUCUGAUCUGGGGGGGGGGGGAUGAAUAUGUGUGCAUGUGUUGUUUUGAGUCUUUCCACCAUGCUCAUUACACAUUUCAUCAUAGCUCUGCAUCCUUCUACUCUGAGACGAAAUCAGCAUUUAACUGCAUGUUUGCAUUACAU